GGGUUGUGAGGUUAAGCGACUAAGCGUACACGGUGGAUGCCCUGGCAGUCAGAGGCGAUGAAGGGCGUGCUAAUCUGCGAUAAGCGCCGGUAAGGUGAUAUGAACCGUUAUAACCGGCGAUACCCGAAUGGGGAAACCCAGUGUGACUCGUCACACUAUCAUUAACUGAAUCCAUAGGUUAAUGAGGCGAACCGGGGGAACUGAAACAUCUAAGUACCCCGAGGAAAAGAAAUCAACCGAGAUUCCCCCAGUAGCGGCGAGCGAACGGGGAGGAGCCCAGAGCCUGAAUCAGCAUGUGUGUUAGUGGAAGCGUCUGGAAAGGCGCGCGAUACAGGGUGACAGCCCCGUACACAAAAGCGCAUGUGCUGUGAGCUCGAUGAGUAGGGCGGGACACGUGGUAUCCUGUCUGAAUAUGGGGGGACCAUCCUCCAAGGCUAAAUACUCCUGACUGACCGAUAGUGAACCAGUACCGUGAGGGAAAGGCGAAAAGAACCCCGGGAGGGGAGUGAAAAAGAACCUGAAACCGUGUACGUACAAGCAGUGGGAGCCCCACCACCAAAGCAUUCUCUGGUGUUGAAGGCCCUGCAAAGCAGCAUCGCGGUGGCGGAGCGUCGUUUGCGACGCCCAACACACAAAACAAGCGGUGAAUGCUUUGGGGUGGGGUGACUGCGUACCU
Molecule: ribosomal RNA, 676 nt
Filed under: Salmonella enterica
Lineage: Bacteria; Pseudomonadati; Pseudomonadota; Gammaproteobacteria; Enterobacterales; Enterobacteriaceae
Description: bacterial LSU rRNA
Rfam family: Bacterial large subunit ribosomal RNA
Source: RNAcentral